AAAACCAGUAUGACUUAGGUAAUAAAUGCUGAGGGCGGAUAUGUAGGAAAGUUACUUUUAUUUUGUAUCUUAAAAUUUAGUUUGUUGAUCGGUAGAAUGAAAAUGCUGAAGAUUUCCAAAAGAUACUUUAGGUAAAUUGAAUACAAUAAGACUAAAGGAGAGACCGGGAUUAGAUACCCCGUUAUUUUUAGUUUUUAUAUUAUAGUAAAGGAUGCCUGGUGACUAUGAGCAAAAGGGCUUCAAAGUUAAAGAACUUGGCGGUAUUUUAGGUACUUAGGGGAACCUGUCUCUUAAUCUGAUGAUCCACGAUAUACAUUACCUAUUUUACCUGGUUUAUAUAUCGUUGUCAUAAGUUAAGAGUUCGUCCUUUUAGCGAAUAAAAAUAUUUUUGGUAUGUCAGAUCGAGAUAUAGCUAAUAUUUAGGGGAGGAUGGGUUACAUUUAAUAAUUAAUUAAAAUGGAUAACUUCUUUAAAUAGGAUUUUUGAAAGCGGACUUAAAAGUAAAUUGUUAUAGCGAGACAAUUUGAAUAUAAAGCUGAAAUGUGU
RNAcentral lists this ribosomal RNA (546 nucleotides) under Volvarina sp. MNHN-IM-2013-43743. RNAcentral describes it as "partial 12S ribosomal RNA". Lineage: Eukaryota; Metazoa; Mollusca; Gastropoda; Neogastropoda; Marginellidae. The record is from RNAcentral.